RNAcentral lists this ribosomal RNA (471 nucleotides) under Bacillus sp. NHTS-32. RNAcentral's name for it is "bacterial SSU rRNA". It matches the Rfam family "Bacterial small subunit ribosomal RNA", at positions 21 to 487 of the family's 1533-position model. The record is from RNAcentral. Lineage: Bacteria; Bacillati; Bacillota; Bacilli; Caryophanales; Bacillaceae.
UGCUCAGGACGAACGCUGGCGGCGUGCCUAAUACAUGCAAGUCGAGCGGACUUGUAGGAGCUUGCUCCUGCAGGUUAGCGGCGGACGGGUGAGUAACACGUGGGCAACCUACCUAUAAGACUGGGAUAACUUCGGGAAACCGGAGCUAAUACCGGAUGACAUAAAGGAACUCCUGUUCCUUUAUUGAAAGAUGGCUUCGGCUAUCACUUACAGAUGGGCCCGCGGCGCAUUAGCUAGUUGGUGAGGUAACGGCUCACCAAGGCGACGAUGCGUAGCCGACCUGAGAGGGUGAUCGGCCACACUGGGACUGAGACACGGCCCAGACUCCUACGGGAGGCAGCAGUAGGGAAUCUUCCGCAAUGGACGAAAGUCUGACGGAGCAACGCCGCGUGAACGAUGAAGGCCUUCGGGUCGUAAAGUUCUGUUGUUAGGGAAGAACAAGUGCUAGUAAAUAAGCUGCACCUGACGGAC